AGGUGAGUGAUUUUGAGAGUUUUAUGAAUAUUUCAACUUGAGAGUGAGGUUGAAAGAGAGUUUUGAAAAAUAUUUUCUUACUUUUUGGGGGAGGUCAUUUUCCGUAGAUUUGAGGUAAAUAAGUUAAUUUGAAAAACAUUUAAGUCAACCAAACAUGAGAAAAUUAGAAAAUAUUUUGUGGAAAAUUUUUUCCCUGUACCAAACAUACUCUUAAUGUAAAAUGAGAUAUAUGCGAGAGAGAUUUUGAUAAUUUGUGUUUAAGAAGUAAUUUGUGUUGAGGGGUCACAUGAUUAUUAGAUAUGGUGGUCUUGGGAUGUGUCAGCUGCUCGCUAAAUUGGUUGCUCAAAGUUGGAGCAACCUGUUUCUUUAAGAGGAACAUCUAAGCAAGUUAUGCAAGGCAAAGCUCACUGAAUUCUACAUCAACGCCAAAGAGACUUCCACAUUUAUUACUAAAAUUAUUAAGGGGUUGUAAUUGAGAUUGUUCCAUCAUUAAUCACUCAAGUUCUUAUUGUUACUAAUGCUAGGUGACAUAUUUUUAUGUACGAAAUGAAUGGCCACCAUUGGAUGGAAUACCCUCUUCCCUGGAUAUCUCUCGAAAG
Molecule: long non-coding RNA, 599 nt
Filed under: Capsicum annuum
Lineage: Eukaryota; Viridiplantae; Streptophyta; Magnoliopsida; Solanales; Solanaceae
Description: long non-coding RNA (CANN_LNC019184)
Source: RNAcentral